CUUAAAUAUGGUUUGUGAUUACAUUUUUGAUGCCAUUAUUUUCAAAGUUAUUCCUCCUAAAUAUGUAAGUUGCCAACAGGCUGUGCAAAUACCAUUGAUUUUGCCAAAUUAUCAAAAAUGACUUGUAAUUCGUUUUGAAGCAUAAAAAUAUGUUUGGAAUCAAUUAAUUGUAGAAUUUGACUUCUGUACUCGUGUUCUGUAUCACUUUGUCCCUCGCGUGUCCUCGGUGUGGUGACGAGGUUUCUUAUCUGUUGUGCUGAUUCACUUUUACUCUUUUGACAUAUAGUUUUGCUUGAUGCUUGCAUUACUAGCUUCCUUGCCAUCUACCUAUGGAGACUUAGAUGGCCAUGUAAUAUAUAUUGAUGUGGAAUCCAAUAGUUCAACAAAGUACUUAUUGAUCCGACUGUACUAAUUUCUAUGCUUUACCAUGAAUAGAUUUCUAGAAUCUUAUAGUCACACUCUGCCUUUAUUUUCAAAAUGAUAGAAAUGGGGUUUGACAGUUUUCCAGAAAUAUUUCACACGAAAGGAAUGGCAAAAGAGACAAACAUGUUCAGUGUUCUGUACUUUAUCUUUCUCAAUUCAUUCCUUGAUGUCUGUGAUGGGUAUGAGAUGAUAUAAUGUUUCAGCCCUUUUUAUGGUGGUUCAAGAUAACCAAGAAAUGGGUUUAUCUGUAUAUUAUGUUAAGGGCUAUUAAUUUAGUUAGAUCAAGAAUUAGAAUAUCAAUUUCAAGUUUAACCAUAAUGCUCAUAUCCUAUGUUGGCUGAGGACAUGACUAAUAAUUUUUAGGGUUAUUACUUGCAAAUACCAUGUUUUUAUAUAGAGAUUGACGUGCCAUCAAAAUUAUUUUGUAAUUUGUCCACAACUGUGAGUAGUCAUAGGGAUUGAACCUUCCACUUUAAAAUGCAGUUUUAAGUUCCUCUUCAGCUACAAAUAGAUUUUUCCUCACCUGCCUUGAUUGCCUUUACUAUUUUCUUCAACCUUCUAAUAUAAGAAUACUUAAAAGAU
This 1005-nucleotide long non-coding RNA is filed under the name Olea europaea subsp. europaea. Lineage: Eukaryota; Viridiplantae; Streptophyta; Magnoliopsida; Lamiales; Oleaceae. The record is from RNAcentral.